This 477-nucleotide ribosomal RNA is filed under the name Triticum aestivum (bread wheat). RNAcentral describes it as "partial small subunit ribosomal RNA". The record is from RNAcentral. Lineage: Eukaryota; Viridiplantae; Streptophyta; Magnoliopsida; Poales; Poaceae.
AUGGGAUUUGUUAAAUUGAAUGUCGAUGCUUCUUUUGAUCACGAUCUGCUUAGAGGCACGGCUGGGACUGUUCUCAGAGAUGACAAUGAAAAUUCAUUGUUGGCAGAAACUGGAAAAUUGAUUGGUUGUGCGGAUGUUUUGACAGCAGAAGUGUUGGCCCUAAGGUUUGGAUUACUUCUUGCACAGAGGGUGGGAUGCAAUCGUCUUGUUAUUAACUCCGAUAAUAUGGAAGUCAUCAACACAAUGAGGAAUGGAGGACAAUCGGCGGGAGCGGCGACAGCAGUCUUCGAUGAUUGCUAUUUUUUGGCUUGUGAUUUUCCUCUUGCUAGGUGUGAACAUUGUAAUAGGGAAGCAAAUAAGCUGGCUCGUGAACUUGCUAGGUUAGCGAAAUUUUCUGCGACAAGGGACAGUUUUGAGGAGCCCUUGAAUGAAAUUGUAACUUUUCUUAUUGACGAUGUAACUGUUAUUUCUAAUUAA